RNAcentral lists this transfer RNA (55 nucleotides) under Myotis lucifugus (little brown bat). Lineage: Eukaryota; Metazoa; Chordata; Mammalia; Chiroptera; Vespertilionidae. The record is from Rfam by way of RNAcentral.
GUUCAGUGGUUAGAGCACCAGCCUGUGCACUGGAGAGUCUGGGUUCGAUUCCCAG